RNAcentral lists this ribosomal RNA (198 nucleotides) under uncultured bacterium. RNAcentral's name for it is "partial 16S ribosomal RNA". The record is from RNAcentral.
AUUACCGCGGCUGCUGGCACAGAGUUAGCCGGUGCUUAUUCUGCGAGUAACGUCCACUAUCUCUAGGUAUUAACUAAAGUAGCCUCCUCCUCGCUUAAAGUGCUUUACAACCAUAAGGCCUUCUUCACACACGCGGCAUGGCUGGAUCAGGCUUGCGCCCAUUGUCCAAUAUUCCCCACUGCUGCCUCCCGUAGGAGU